RNAcentral lists this long non-coding RNA (1023 nucleotides) under Mytilus galloprovincialis (Mediterranean mussel). The record is from RNAcentral. Lineage: Eukaryota; Metazoa; Mollusca; Bivalvia; Mytilida; Mytilidae.
AUUUAGAGCAAAUCUGACGGGGUAAAAAUGAUUAUCAGGUCAAGAUCUAUCUGCCCUGAAAUUUACAGAUGAAUCGGACAACCUGUUGUUGGGUUGCUGCCCCUGAAUUGGUAAUUUUAAGGAAAUUUUGCUGUUUUUGGUUAUUUAUCUUGAAUAUUAUUAUAGAUAGAGAUAAACUGUAAACAGCAAUAAUGUUCAGCAAAGUAAGAUUUACAAAUAAGUCAACAUGACUGAAAUGGUCAGUUGACCCCUUUAGGAGUUAUUGCCCUUUAUAGUCAAUUUUUAACCAUUUUUUGUAAAUCUUAGUAAUCUAUUACAAAAAUCUUCUCCUCUGAAACCACUGUGCCAAAUUAAACCAAACUUGGCCACAAUCAUCAUUGGGGUAUCUAGUUAAAAAAAUGUGUGGCGUGACCCGGUCAACCAACCAAGAUGGCCGCCACGGCUAAAAAUAGAACAUAGGGGUAAAAUUCAGUUUUUGGCUUAUAACUCAAAAAUCAAAGCAUUUAGAGCAAAUCUGACAUAAGUAAAAAUGAUUAUCAGGUCAAGAUCUAUCUGCCCUGAAAUUUUCAGAUGAAUCGGACGACCUGUUGUUGGGUUGCUGCCCCUGAAUUGGUAAUUUUAAGGAAAUUUUGCUGUUUUUGGUUAUUAUCUUGAAUAUUAUUAUAGAUAGAGAUAAACUGUAAACAGCAAUAAUGUUCAGCAAAGUAAGAUUUACAAAUAAGUCAACAUGACUGAAAUGGUCAGUUGACCCCUUUAGGAGUUAUUGCCCUUUAUAGUCAAUUUUGAACCAUUUUUCGUAAAUCUUAGUUAUCUUUUACAAAAAUCUUCUCCUCUGAAACUACUGGGCCAAGUUCAUUAUAGAUAGAGAUAAUUGUAAGCAGCAAGAAUGUUCAGUAAAGUAAGAUUUACAAACACAUCACCAUCACCAAAAACACAAUUUUGUCAUGAAUCCAUCUGCGUCCUUUGUUUAAUAUUCACAUAGACCAAGGUGAGCGACACAGGCUCUUUGGAGCCUCUAGUUUU